GCCAAACGUGAAGCACUUCGUGACGACCAGUAUGGAGAUGUACAUAGCCUCUUUUGUGGGCUUCAUGGUGACCUACCUGGUACUGGUGUGCUGUGGGGACGUACGCAGGCGGCACCCCUGCAACCUCGUCCUCCUCUUCAUCUUUACGCUGUCGUUCGCGUACAUGCUGGGCGUGAUCUCCGCCUUCCACAGCACGUACAUCGUGUUCAUGGCGGCCGCCGUGACCGCCGUC
Long non-coding RNA from Schistocerca gregaria, 232 nucleotides. RefSeq lists it as uncharacterized. NCBI's taxonomy places the organism in Eukaryota, Metazoa, Arthropoda, Insecta, Orthoptera, Acrididae. The transcript is spliced from 3 exons. The record is from RefSeq and is a predicted model, not a curated record.